This 305-nucleotide ribosomal RNA is filed under the name uncultured bacterium. Its description in RNAcentral is "bacterial SSU rRNA". It matches the Rfam family "Bacterial small subunit ribosomal RNA", at positions 331 to 656 of the family's 1533-position model. The record is from RNAcentral.
UCGGCCUACGGGGGGCAGCAGUAGGGAAUCUUUCACAAUGGGCGAAAGCCUGAUGGAGCAACGCCGCGUGCAGGAUGAAGGCCUUCGGGUUGUAAACUGCUUUUAUAAGCGAGAAAUAUGAUGGUAACUUAUGAAUAAGGAUCGGCUAACUACGUGCCAGCAGCCGCGGUAAUACGUAGGGGGCAAGCGUUAUCCGGAUUUACUGGGUGUAAAGGGAGCGUAGACGGCAGAGCAAGUCUGAAGUGAAAGCCCGCGGCCCAACUGCGGGACUGCUUUGGAAACUGCCCGGCUAGUGUGCUGGAGAG